GCCUAAGGCCAUUCUACACUGAAGGAGCCCAAGCUCUUCUGAUCUUGAAAGUGAAGCAGGUGGGCCUCUUUCCUACUUGGCUGGGCAUCCCCGGGUGACUGCUGGGGCAGCCCUGGUGA
This 119-nucleotide ribosomal RNA is filed under the name Ochotona princeps (American pika). The record is from RNAcentral. Lineage: Eukaryota; Metazoa; Chordata; Mammalia; Lagomorpha; Ochotonidae.